Molecule: ribosomal RNA, 761 nt
Filed under: uncultured bacterium
Lineage: Bacteria
Description: bacterial SSU rRNA
Rfam family: Bacterial small subunit ribosomal RNA
Source: RNAcentral
AACACAUGCAAGUCGAACGAGAAAGUGGAGCAAUCCAUGAGUAAAGUGGCGCACGGGUGAGUAACACGUGACUAACCUACCCUUGAGCGGGGGAUAACCUAGGGAAACCUGGGCUAAUACCGCAUAAUACCUACGGGUCAAAGCGAGCAAUCGCACUUAAGGAGGGGGUCGCGGCAGACUAGCUAGUUGGUGAGGUAAUGGCUCACCAAGGCGAUGAUCUGUAUCCGGCCUGAGAGGGCGCACGGACACACUGGAACUGAAACACGGUCCAGACUCCUACGGGAGGCAGCAGUGGGGAAUUUUGCGCAAUGGGGGAAACCCUGACGCAGCAACGCCGCGUGGAGGAUGAAAUAUCUUGGUAUGUAAACUCCUUUCGAUGGGGACGAUAAUGACGGUACCCAUAGAAGAAGCCCCGGCUAACUUCGUGCCAGCAGCCGCGGUAAUACGAGGGGGGCAAGCGUUGUUCGGAAUUAUUGGGCGUAAAGGGUGCGUAGGCGGUUUGAUAAGUUCUGUGUGAAAUCUAUGGGCUCAACCCAUAGUCUGCACGGAAAACUGUCAGGCUUGAGAAUGGGAGAGGUGAGUGGAAUUUCCGGUGUAGCGGUGAAAUGCGUAGAUAUCGGAAGGAACACCUGUGGCGAAAGCGGCUCACUGGACCAUUUCUGACGCUGAUGCACGAAAGCUAGGGGAGCAAACAGGAUUAGAUACCCUGGUAGUCCUAGCCCUAAACGAUGAUUGCUUGAUGUGGUGGGUACCCAAUCCCG